Molecule: non-coding RNA, 616 nt
Organism: Pimephales promelas (fathead minnow)
Lineage: Eukaryota; Metazoa; Chordata; Actinopteri; Cypriniformes; Leuciscidae
Source: RefSeq, a predicted model, not a curated record
AGUGGACCGAGUCUACACACCAAAACAGUGUCAAAUACUUUUUGGAAGUCUAAGAAUCACAUGAAGAAACUCGUCCUGUAUAAAAGUAGGCUACCUGAAGUGGGCGGUGUCUGAUGUCGGAUUUAAACAGAGAAAGUGAAACCGUCCAUCACUGUGUGCAUCAGAACAGUUUCUUCUAACGUUACAUCCUGAGGUAAUUUAGUUAAAGUUUGAGCGCAUUCAGCUUGAGUUUACAGAUCUACUUUACUGAUAUGAGACAAGGAGUGGAGAGAAUAAGAGUUUGUGUGGCGAAUUCAGAAGAGGAGUUCAGGAACACCACAGUGGAGGAGUUAAAGAGAAAACUCAUUCCUGGAGACCAGCGCACAUAUACAGUGAUAAGCAUGCAGGCAACUGUCUUCUCAUGGGAGAACCUGGACAAACACAUAUACCUUUGAAGAUGAUGACGAUGAAGACAAAGAUGAAGAUAAAGAAUUGCCCAGGACUCAAUCUAUGGAACAUUUAGCUGGAAUGCAAAAUAUUGACCUGUGUUGUGUAUUGCAGUAGGCUACAGCUUCACAAUAUCCACAGAUAUAUACUGUAAACAGUUAAAGUGCCACAUCUUUAAGAUUCACUACUG